AGUGAACGCUGGCGGUAUGCCUAACACAUGCAAGUCGAACGGCAGCACAGUAAGAGCUUGCUCUUACGGGUGGCGAGUGGCGGACGGGUGAGGAAUACAUCGGAAUCUACUUUUUCGUGGGGGAUAACGUAGGGAAACUUACGCUAAUACCGCAUACGACCUACGUGUGAAAGCAGGGGAUCUUCGGACCUUUCGCGUUUGAAUGAGCCGAUGUCGGAUUAGGUAGUUGGCGGGGUAACGGCCCACCAAGGCAACGAUCCGUAGCUGAUCUGAGAGGGUGAGCGGGCACACUGGGACUGAGACACGGCCCAGACUCCGACGGGAGGCAGCAGUAGGGAAUCGUCCGCGAUGGACGAAAGUCUGACGGAGCAAUGCCGCGUGAGUGAAGAAGGUUUUCGGAUCGUAAAACUCUGUUGUAAGGGAAGAACAAGUACGGGAGGAACUGAACGUACCUUGACGGUACCUGACCAGAAAGCCACGGCUAACUACGUG
This 492-nucleotide ribosomal RNA is filed under the name uncultured bacterium. Its description in RNAcentral is "partial 16S ribosomal RNA". It matches the Rfam family "Bacterial small subunit ribosomal RNA", at positions 29 to 507 of the family's 1533-position model. The record is from RNAcentral.